GAUGAACGCUGGCGGCGUGCCUAAUACAUGCAAGUCGAGCGAACAGACGAGGAGCUUGCUCCUCUGACGUUAGCGGCUGACGGGUGAGUAACACGUGGAUAACCUACCUAUAAGACUGGGAUAACUUCGGGAAACCGGAGCUAAUACCGGAUCAUAUAUUGAACCGCAUGGUUCAAUAGUGAAAGACGGUUUUGCUGUCACUUAUAGAUGGAUCCGCGCCGCAUUAGCUAGUUGGUAAGGUAACGGCCUACCAAGGCAACGAUGCGUAGCCGACCUGAGAGGGUGAUCGGCCACACUGGAACUGAGACACGGUCCAGACUCCUACGGGAGGCAGCAGUAGGGAAUCUUCCGCAAUGGGCGAAAGCCUGACGGAGCAACGCCGCGUGAGUGAUGAAGGUCUUCGGAUCGUAAAACUCUGUUAUUAGGGAAGAACAAAUGUGUAAGUAACUAUGCACGUCUUGACGGUACCUAAUCAGAAAGCCACGGCUAACUACGUG
This 497-nucleotide ribosomal RNA is filed under the name uncultured bacterium. RNAcentral describes it as "partial 16S ribosomal RNA". It matches the Rfam family "Bacterial small subunit ribosomal RNA", at positions 28 to 507 of the family's 1533-position model. The record is from RNAcentral.